CGUGUUUGAUACCCAUUUGUUAGCAGUAAACAGCAUAUCUGUUACCUCGAUAUAUUAUUCCAUUUGUUGGCCAUUUUUUGCUUCUAAAGGUUAGGUUCCAGCUCUCAAGUAAAUGCUCAAGAAAUUAUUGGUAUUAUUUCUUUUGUGUGAGAUAGUAGUUAGCAAGAAAUUUGACAUUUCAUAUCGCACCGUGAAUGUUAAAAAGUAGAAGAAGAGUGUAAAGUAAUCAAACCACGGUAGAGGAGAUAUUUGAGCAAGAGCAAUUGGUGGUCAAGUGAAAAACUAAUCUAACAGAAUAGAAAUUUAAGCACGAGUAAUUGGUAUACAAAAAAGCAAAGCGUUAAUCAACCAGAAAAGAUAUGUAUUUGAGCAAGAGCAAUUGGUAAGUUUCCCAUUAUGUGGUCAUUUUUAGUAUCCAUAAUGGAAGACGAGGAGUAGAUUUUAUAUAAUACUAUCCGACCCCGCAGUCAUUGUCCUGCGUGAAAUUAUGUGUUUAGAAAUGAAAAAGUUGAAUUUAUCAUUUCACUUUUUUUCAAUGUUUUGACGCU
This is a long non-coding RNA of Bactrocera tryoni, 548 nucleotides long. RefSeq lists it as uncharacterized. The record is from RefSeq and is a predicted model, not a curated record. The transcript has 3 exons. Lineage: Eukaryota; Metazoa; Arthropoda; Insecta; Diptera; Tephritidae.